Molecule: long non-coding RNA, 2302 nt
Organism: Brassica rapa (field mustard)
Lineage: Eukaryota; Viridiplantae; Streptophyta; Magnoliopsida; Brassicales; Brassicaceae
Source: RefSeq, a predicted model, not a curated record
GGUGUUAGUUAGGAAUUGACAAGACCCAAAACUGUAAGGACCAUUCGAUCUAUAGGCAGUUAUCGACAUCGAACAAUUCGUCUUUGGUCGUCAAAUAUUUGCUUCUACUUUUCCAAGAUUUUUCGGGUGGUGCGAGUUCCCAAGUUCUCCAUAACUUCUGCAACAUCUAGUUUUUGUCUUCCCCUAUUUAUACUUCGCACUUAUUAUUAACGAUACUUUUUUACUUUUACUGAAAUUUUGAUAACUAUAGACUUUUCAUCUUCUUUCUCUUCAUCUCUGUGUUCUAACGACGAGACAUGCAACCAUAGAGAUUUAGGAGGGAGAGCCUUUGGCCAUCACGUUCUGAUCGAAGAUGAUCAAAGAUGACGUACGAUGCUCUAAUUACCUUUUGUCGAUCUUUCAACGUACUCGACGAAAUACGACCGUUAGUUUCUGCUGUUGUUGAGUGUCCAGAACGGGUGAAACCUUUCUCUGCACGCACAUACACGAUUUUGUUUGAAAAAUGAGGUUGGAGUUCCUUCGAUGUGAUUAAUCUUUUUUAGACGAAGUGGAAUCCUGGGUUCAAGGAUACUUUUUACUUCUCCACACGCGCUAACUGUGAAAUCCUCACCGAGCUUCCGAGAAAAGAUGAAUAGAGAGAUGAGUAAUUCUUUUUUGAAGUAAAUGAAGCUUCGAUAGACAAUUUUGAUCACACUCAGAUGUUUUCUAUCUGAAUACUGGUUAAUGAUACUUACAGAUCUGAGCCUUUAUCCGAUCACGUCCGUUCUUUGGUUUAUCGGUUGUGUGGCGGGACUGUCGAUUGGCCUUCUUUUAGUAGACCGAGGGUGCUCGAUGCGCUUGGCAUCUUCCUUAACGUUUACCGAUAGCUCCUUCCUCGCUUAGGACCGUUUCCUAUCAGUUGGCUCAGCCUCAAGGUUGGGAUGUGCAGGUCAUUAAUUUUUGAUGUGUCAAGCUUAUCAACCCAAUCUCAACCGCCAAUCAUUAUUGAUGAUACUCUGGUACCUUCUGCUCGGGCGUGUAUUCAGGUCAGAAUAGGCAAGGGAAGCCCUGCUUCUGUAAGGGAGGGGGUGUUGAGACGUCUGGCCGGCGUGCUGGCGUCGUUAUGGAUCUGUCCGUCGGAGGUUGGUUGGUAGCAGAUCGGACCAUGGACAGCAGAAGAAAGAGGGCCCGCAGAGAAGGUUUUUCACACUCAUUGGUUAGAGGCGGCGAAUCUUAUAUUCCCUGUUGGCCUUUAGAGCAUAAAAAGAUGUUACUAAUUCAGAGGACCCGUAUGGCGCGGCAUCUAUGAUUUACUUGUUGGGAGAGAAGGAGUGCCAAUUGCCAGUUCCUACUACUCCUAGAGAGCGGGGAUCCUACAACAACGCUACUGUUGCUCUCGUGAAAGUAUUAUUUCUUUCAUGAUAUUUCUUUAAUUAUUUUAUGAUGAUUUUUACUCGUUUGACGCAUUUGUCAGUCUAUAGAGGCUUUGGAUCAUGUGGUUUUCCAUUAUGAGGCAAGGGUCAGUGAAGGAGGUCCAGCGAAUGCGGAUCAUUCUAGUUUGGAAAGGCUUCCCGCUGAUCUUCGGCAGCUAAGGACCGUGAGGAUUGCCUCAUUAUAGAGCUUGCUGACCACAAAGCUCGCAUUGUGCACAUAGAAGCUGAUCUAGCGCACAAACAUCAGGUCUCCGCUGAUCUUUACGCUGCUCUUGAGGCUAAGUGGGAUGCAGUCUUGGCUAGGGUGAAACGUCUUGAAGAAUAUAUUUCGAGCUUGGUGACAGCUCAUGAAGUUUGGAUGAGGCGCUCAAUUCAGGCUGAUAAACUAAGAAUCUCAGCUCAGUGUACUGUUUACGUUUUGAAACAUGUGUGUGGCCAAGGGUAAGGAGGCGACUGCUGAAAUCGAACUCCAGGAUGUGGCGGCGAACAUCAGACUCUUAGAUCUGCUCCAGCGGGGGGAGGUCGAGAUCGAGACAGAUAUGGUUGUGUUAAGGGAGAAAGAGAAAGAAUGUGAUAGUGUUUGGAGGGCAUCCAAGUUUUGAAUUUGUCUCUAGGCAAGCUUACUCCACCGUCGGUUUUGGAGGAUUCCGUGAUGAUGGAAGAGGCCCCGGUGGGUGAUCAGAUUGUUAACUCCGAUGGUGGAGUUAGGGAGGUUUGAGAGUUCAUUCGUCUUCUUUUUUUUUGUUAUUGUUUAUGUUGCCUAAUAAUGGCUCUUUAUAAAAAAUGCCUUCAAAAUUUAUGAAGAAUGUAUAAGAUCUGUUUUUAAAAAAAAUUAUGGAGUACAAUUUUUAAUAGUUUUUGUGAAUUGAAUCAGCCGUAGGUUUUAGGAA